Molecule: ribosomal RNA, 449 nt
Filed under: uncultured bacterium
Lineage: Bacteria
Description: partial 16S ribosomal RNA
Rfam family: Bacterial small subunit ribosomal RNA
Source: RNAcentral
AGCGAACGCUGGCGGCAGGCUUAACACAUGCAAGUCGAGCGGGCACUUCGGGGUCAGCGGCGGACGGGUGAGUAACGCGUGGGAACGUGCCUUCUGGUUCGGAAUAACCCUGGGAAACUAGGGCUAAUACCGGAUACGCCAUUAUGGGGAAAGGUUUACUGCCGGAAGAUCGGCCCGCGCCUGAUUAGCUAGUUGGGGGGGUAACGGCCUACCAAGGCGACGAUCAGUAGCUGGGCUGAGAGGAUGAUCAGCCACACUGGGACUGAGAUACGGCGGAGACUUCUCCGGGAGGCAGCAAUAGGGAAUAUUGGACGAUGGGCGCAUGAAUAAUCCAGCCAUGCCGCGUGAGUGAUGAAGGCCUUAGGGUUGUAAAGCUCUUUUAUCCGGGACGAUAAUGACGGUACCGGAGGAAAAAGCCCCGGCUAACUUCGUGCCAGCAGCCGCCGUAA